Non-coding RNA from Pseudomonadales bacterium, 70 nucleotides. Lineage: Bacteria; Pseudomonadati; Pseudomonadota; Gammaproteobacteria; Pseudomonadales. The record is from Rfam.
GGCGCAGCUCUUGCUGUAGCCCUGCUACAGGUAGCCAAUGGCGGCUGCUCAAAAACGACAAAGACGUCGC